This 253-nucleotide ribosomal RNA is filed under the name uncultured bacterium. RNAcentral describes it as "partial 16S ribosomal RNA". It matches the Rfam family "Bacterial small subunit ribosomal RNA", at positions 524 to 776 of the family's 1533-position model. The record is from RNAcentral.
UACGUAGGGCGCAAGCGUUAUCCGGAAUUAUUGGGCGUAAAGAGCUCGUAGGCGGUUUGUUGCGUCGGCUGUGAAAUCCCGAGGCUCAACCUCGGGUCUGCAGUCGAUACGAGCAAACUAGAGUGUUGCAGGGGAGACUGGGAUUCCUGGUGUAGCGGUGAAAUGCGCAGAUAUCAGGAGGAACACCGGUGGCGAAGGCGGGUCUCUGGGCAACAACUGACGCUGAGGAGCGAAAGCGUGGGGAGCGAACAGG